Molecule: ribosomal RNA, 465 nt
Filed under: Vreelandella stevensii
Lineage: Bacteria; Pseudomonadati; Pseudomonadota; Gammaproteobacteria; Oceanospirillales; Halomonadaceae
Description: partial 16S ribosomal RNA
Rfam family: Bacterial small subunit ribosomal RNA
Source: RNAcentral
CCUACGGGGGGCAGCAGUGGGGAAUAUUGGACAAUGGGGGCAACCCUGAUCCAGCCAUGCCACGUGUGUGAAGAAGGCCCUCGGGUUGUAAAGCACUUUCAGUGAGGAAGAACGCCUGGUGGUUAAUACCCAUCAGGAAAGACAUCACUCACAGAAGAAGCACCGGCUAACUCCGUGCCAGCAGCCGCGGUAAUACGGAGGGUGCGAGCGUUAAUCGGAAUUACUGGGCGUAAAGCGCGCGUAGGUGGCUUGAUAAGCCGGUUGUGAAAGCCCCGGGCUCAACCUGGGAACGGCAUCCGGAACUGUCAAGCUAGAGUGCAGGAGAGGAAGGUAGAAUUCCCGGUGUAGCGGUGAAAUGCGUAGAGAUCGGGAGGAAUACCAGUGGCGAAGGCGGCCUUCUGGACUGACACUGACACUGAGGUGCGAAAGCGUGGGUAGCAAACAGGAUUAGAUACCCCAGUAGUC